ACAGGGCUGCACCGAUUUCACC
This 22-nucleotide microRNA is filed under the name Monodelphis domestica (gray short-tailed opossum). RNAcentral's name for it is "mdo-miR-12343-5p". The record is from miRBase by way of RNAcentral. Lineage: Eukaryota; Metazoa; Chordata; Mammalia; Didelphimorphia; Didelphidae.